ACUCCUACGGGAGGCAGCAGUGGGGAAUAUUGGACAAUGGGCGAAAGCCUGAUCCAGCCAUGCCGCGUGUGUGAAGAAGGCCUUCGGGUUGUAAAGCACUUUCAGUGGGGAGAAAGGUCAUUCACCUAAUACGUGAGUGAAUUGAUGUUACCCACAGAAGAAGCACCGGCUAACUCCGUGCCAGCAGCCGCGGUAAU
RNAcentral lists this ribosomal RNA (197 nucleotides) under uncultured bacterium. RNAcentral's name for it is "partial 16S ribosomal RNA". It matches the Rfam family "Bacterial small subunit ribosomal RNA", at positions 335 to 524 of the family's 1533-position model. The record is from RNAcentral.